RNAcentral lists this unclassified non-coding RNA (209 nucleotides) under plant metagenome. RNAcentral describes it as "partial contains small subunit ribosomal RNA and internal transcribed spacer 1". The stretch from base 1 to 46 matches the Rfam family "Eukaryotic small subunit ribosomal RNA", at positions 1786 to 1831 of the family's 1831-position model. The record is from RNAcentral.
AAGUCGUAGCAAGGUUUCCGUAGGUGAACCUGCGGAAGGAUCAUUACCGUAGUUCUCCUGCAGUACUGCCAGGACCUCCACCCUUGAUUAUCUAUAUGCGUUGCUCGGCGAGACGCUGGAAACAGCCAUUGACCUCUCACGUCGAUGCGUGCUCGCCGAAGUUUCAUACUCUACAUUAUGUGUCGUCAGAGAAUCAAAAAUCUAAAAAA